This 433-nucleotide ribosomal RNA is filed under the name uncultured bacterium. Its description in RNAcentral is "partial 16S ribosomal RNA". It matches the Rfam family "Bacterial small subunit ribosomal RNA", at positions 29 to 507 of the family's 1533-position model. The record is from RNAcentral.
AACGAACGCUGGCGGCAUGCCUAACACAUGCGAGUCGAACGAGACCUUCGGGUCUAGUGGCGCACGGGUGCGUAACGCGUGGGAACCUGCCCUUAGGUUCGGAAUAACUCCCCGAAAGGGGUGCUAAUACCGGAUAAUGUCUUCGGACCAAAGAUUUAUCGCCUUUGGAUGGGCCCGCGUUGGAUUAGCUAGUUGGUAGGGUAAAAGCCUACCAAGGCGACGAUCCAUAGCUGGUCCGAGAGGAUGAUCAGCCACACUGGGACUGAGACACGGCCCAGACUCCUACGGGAGGCAGCAGUGGGGAAUAUUGGACAAUGGGCGAAAGCCUGAUCCAGCAAUGCCGCGUGAGUGAUGAAGGCCUUAGGGUUGUAAAGCUCUUUUACCCGGGAUGAUAAUGACAGUACCGGGAGAAUAAGCUCCGGCUAACUCCGUG